This 253-nucleotide ribosomal RNA is filed under the name uncultured bacterium. RNAcentral describes it as "partial 16S ribosomal RNA". It matches the Rfam family "Bacterial small subunit ribosomal RNA", at positions 524 to 776 of the family's 1533-position model. The record is from RNAcentral.
UACGUAGGGGGCAAGCGUUGUCCGGAAUUAUUGGGCGUAAAGAGCUCGUAGGCGGCCUGUUGCGUCCGCUGUGAAAGCCCGGGGCUUAACCCCGGGUCGGCAGUGGAUACGGGCAGGCUAGAGGUAGGUAGGGGAGAAUGGAAUUCCCGGUGUAGCGGUGAAAUGCGCAGAUAUCAGGAAGAACACCCGUGGCGAAGGCGGCUCUCUGGGACGGUACUGACGCUGAGACGCGAAAGCGUGGGGAGCGAACAGG